Molecule: ribosomal RNA, 465 nt
Filed under: Vreelandella stevensii
Lineage: Bacteria; Pseudomonadati; Pseudomonadota; Gammaproteobacteria; Oceanospirillales; Halomonadaceae
Description: partial 16S ribosomal RNA
Rfam family: Bacterial small subunit ribosomal RNA
Source: RNAcentral
CCUACGGGGGGCAGCAGUGGGGAAUAUUGGACAAUGGGGGCAACCCUGAUCCAGCCAUGCCGCGUGUGUGAAGAAGGCCCUCGGGUUGUAAAGCACUUUCAGUGAGGAAGAACGCCUGGUGGUUAAUACCCAUCAGGAAAGACAUCACUCACAGAAGAAGCACCGGCUAACUCCGUGCCAGCAGCCGCGGUAAUACGGAGGGUGCGAGCGUUAAUCGGAAUUACUGGGCGUAAAGCGCGCGUAGGUGGCUUGAUAAGCCGGUUGUGAAAGCCCCGGGCUCAACCUGGGAACGGCAUCCGGAACUGUCAAGCUAGAGUGCAGGAGAGGAAGGUCGAAUUCCCGGUGUAGCGGUGAAAUGCGUAGAGAUCGGGAGGAAUACCAGUGGCGAAGGCGGCCUUCUGGACUGACACUGACACUGAGGUGCGAAAGCGUGGGUAGCAAACAGGAUUAGAUACCCGGGUAGUC